Molecule: long non-coding RNA, 12255 nt
Filed under: Coffea arabica (coffee)
Lineage: Eukaryota; Viridiplantae; Streptophyta; Magnoliopsida; Gentianales; Rubiaceae
Description: long non-coding RNA (CARA_LNC002502)
Source: RNAcentral
UUCAAAGAAUACAAGAGUACAGAGGGAUCAGUUACCAAGAGUCAAUACACCUUUCUAUGUAGCUUUCCAAGAUGACAGAGGCGGAGUAUUUGCAAAUCUCCAAGUAUUUGCCAUUAUAGCAGGUGGGUAUCUGUCACCCUUUGCUGCAUUAGCUGAAGCAAUUGAUUCAAGCUCUUUCAUUUCUUCCGGUGUCAACUUCACCGAUAAGGCCUUGAUGUUGCUCUCCAGGUUCUCAAUCUUGGUGGUGCCAGGAAUGGGACAGACGUCGUCCCCUUGAUGAUGAACCCAUGCUAAGGCCAAUUGGGAUGGAGUACAACCCUUUCUUGUUGCCAACUGAGCAACCUGCUCGAACAGCUUGUUAUUGUGCUCAACAUUCUCCUCCUGAAACCUUGGGAUCCUCUACAAAUGCAGCAAACAUUUGCUGUAAAACAUUAAAAUCAUAUAGACUGAUUGUACCCAUGCACCUGUGCUUUGCUUUUCAAAAUCUAGCCCAAAAGCAUCACUUACUAAGAAGGCACUUGUAAAUUUUACCAAGAGAGUACAUUCUCACCUCCGACCAGAGAAUUAAAUAAAAAAAAAAAGAAGAAGAUGAUGCCAUGAAAUCUUUUGUACUACUUACUUUCUAAAUAUCACUCCAGGCACAUACAUGCCAAGGUAAAAGCAACAAGGGAGUGCAAGAAAGUGUAAUAUGGGGAUUGGACUAAUAUGUUAGUACAAUCUCAGGGAGUUGUCACAUGGUCAAAAAGCUAGAGUAACAGCAAAUGUUCAAUGACAUUUCUGAAAUUAAUCUGCAGUUACCAUAAGUUCAAACCAAAUAGACUCAAGUUUUUAAGCGAGAAAAUGAGAUUUAAAAUGCAGAGGAUACUGUUUUACUAUCUGCUUAACCAUAGUGGAUACUUAUUCACUAUGAGAUUCACGAAGUAUACUGAGGUACAGUGCUCGUUCCAGAUCUUUGCUUUAAGAUUAAAAAAAAAAUGAUGUGGUGCUUUUGCCUGUUUCUAAAAGAUGCCCUGUCAGAUAUGGUGGCAGGGAAAGACAGCAGAGAGCAUAUGAAAAGGAAAAUAAAACAAUGUCGCCAGUAACUGCUUAAAAAAAUGGAAAUGUGACCAGUGACCAAACAGGAUAACAGGUAGGUUUUUCAUAGCAACAACUGGCUACAUUUCACUUCUGAAACAUAGACUUCAGAGAAAGUUCAAGUAACAUAGCAAAGUCACAUGAGCCAAACACAGGAAACUAUAGUCAAGAGAACUUAGUCAAAAACAAGAUAAUAGGAAGAUUUUUCUUACUAACGAACAACUGCUUCCAUUUCAGUUCUGAAACAUGGACUUCAGAGCAAGUUGAAGUAACAUACAAAGUUAAUUGAGAACCAAAAACAAAGGAAGAUAUACGCAAGAAAACUUUUGUAUAUUUUCUAGUAAAUCUAAGGAAACCAUGAAUUCAACGUAUUACGAAUUCUGGAAAACACCCCAUGGGCUGCAAGGAGGGGUCAACAAUGGACUCAGAUUACUAGAUGUAAUCUGCGAUCGGAGUAAAAUUUCACAUUGCACAAGCCUUGAGCACAUACCUUACGGAAGUCAUUACUAGUCAAGUUCUCCGUCAACUUCGCACCAGAUGCAAAGAAUCCUCUGCCCAGAGGACUGAACGAUACAAUUCCUAUGCCUAGUUCCCUAUAAUUAAAAAUCAUCCUGAAUUAGUAAGCUGAGGGGGCAAUACAAGCUCCCAACUAUGGAAGAUUAUUAUGUGGAGCAUAUCUUUUGGAUGACUUACCUGCAUGUGGGAAUAACCACUUCCUCAGCAUCUCUUGUCCACAAGGACCAUUCUAGUUGCACAGCUGUUAUGGGAUGAACAGCAUGAGCCCUCCUGAUUGUUUCCGGAGAGGCCUCAGAUAGACCUAUGUAUCUUACUUUACCCUCUUCAACCAGUUGCUUCAGAGCUCCAACCUAGAAGUUGCAGGUUAUAGAAGGAUUUCAAUUCACAAAUCUGUCUAAUGUGCAAAUCUAUUUGUAAUUUCACAACAAAUACAAAAGCACAAGCGAAAAGGCUUGGGGACAUCCAUCAACUUCCGGUGAAUACUUAAAAAAGCAGAGGACUACUAGCGCCUAACUAAGCUAUAAAACAUACACGAGUGAUAUUGCAAAGACAUGAAUAAAAUUAAGAGAAAAAGAGGGGGGGGGGCAUGAACAUAUUCUACUGUAGAAUUAACCUGUUCUACUUGCAUAGAUUAGAAACGAUGGAAUUCAAUCUUGGAAAAUUCAAUUCACUUCACAAUAAUGCAAGUUUAUCCAAUUAGAUUCUCAAAAUCAAAUAGGAAUCUACAGAUUACAUAAAUAAUACUGCAAAACUUAAAAACUCAUUCUACACCAUAAUGAAUUGUUCUGAUCCCUCAGUAAUGCUUGAGAAUCUGAAUGAAUUAAUCCAAGAAAGACCAAUAAGAUCUUUAAAAAGAAAAAGAACUAAAAAACAGACUGAUAAGUAUCAAGGGAAAAGUAAUACAAACCAUGAUUUCAAUAGGAACGCUUUAAUUAAUUUAAUAGUUCUGAAAACAAUAGUUCAAUGUAAUCCAAACAAUGCUUAGCUGCUGUUUACUUGCAUAGGCUUCAAAUAAGGAAAUAGAUUUUCCCUUUUUUUUUGUGUUGUUUGUUGUGUUUGGGGGGGAGGUGGGGGGAAUCAUUGCACAGUAAUGCAAAUUUAUCUAACUCUGUCAGCUCGAAUUGACCAAAUGUCAGCUCAUUGAACUCACAUUCAGUAAAUCCUAGGACCCUAUGGACUAAAACACACACACACCCACUCACCCACCCACACACACACAACCCCCCUCUCUCUCUUUUGUAGAAUAUUUUUACAUUUCAUAAUAAUUUUGGGAACUUCUCCUCAUUCUAGAGCUCAAACACGGAACCAUGGUUAGCAUCAAUGAUAGCAAAACUUGCACAAACUGCUAUAUGACAAAUUGCUCUGAUUGAUUAUUACUAGAACUCGAACUGAAUUAAUUAAUCCAAAAGAGAUUGAUGGAAAUAGAAGACCACGAAAACAAACCGUGAUUUCAAUAGGAAUCGUUCUGUCAAUCCGAUGAACAAAAUAGAGAUCAAUAUAAUCAACAUCUAGCCUCUUCAAACUGGCCGCACAAGCUUCCCUCACAUAGUCUGGAUGGCCACAUGCUACAUGUUCUCCAGUUGGCAAAAUUCUUGACGCAAAUUUCGUUGCAAUUUGAACUUUCUCCCUUUCCACCCCCUUCAAUGCCUACAUCCACAACACUCAGAUUAAAUUACCAAAAAGCAAAAUCCCCCAAUAAAAAAAGGGAGAAAUUUCCAACCACAUCUCAGCUGAGUUAGUAUAGGCAUAAAAAAAAUCCAAAAACAAUAUAAAAAUCUUUACAAACAAAAAUCCAUCAAUAAAUCGAAAAAACAAAAAAGAAACAGAAAUUGCAUUUGGUCAUCAUUAUACUUUCUUGAACCCAGAAAAAAAAAAAAAAAGAAGAGGAAGAGAAGUUGGUUUUGGCCAUUUUGGCUUAUGAGGUGUGACUUUACCUUUCCAAUGAGGAUUUCAUUAGUAUGGGGGCCAUAGACAUCAGAGGUGUCCAGAUGAGUGAUACCACUAUUGAUGGCAUGGUGGAUCAGCUUGAUCAUAUCUGGCUCAGGUUUUGGAGGGCCAUAGCUAAAAGACAUUCCCAUGCAACCUAAGCCUUGGGCUGACACCUCUAGGCCUUGUGAUCCCAGCUUGAUUCUCCUCACUCCUGCCGCCAUUUUUGUCUUUAUUGAGCUCUGUUACUAAAUUUUUUCCAAAACCCUGCUGGCUUUUCUCCUCUACUGUUCAGUUAAGUAUAGAAAGUAGAAAGUAGGGAGCGUCAAAUAGAGAAUUGGAUGGUAUGAUGACGUAGUCAGUGAGCUCAUCUAGUGGACAAAUUGCAGACAAGAUCCGGCACGGAUCCGACUAUCCGACUAUGGUGCAGAUGUCUGCACCAAAUGAAAAGCUGCCUUCCAGCAGCUUAGGACACACUUGUUGGGAACAGUGGCGGUUCAGCUGGGCACCGGUAAAGCGGUGUAAGUUUGAAGUGACGUCUCCAGAGUGCAGCCCUAGUCCACUAGGAGUUGAGGACAUUUUUUUAAGUGGAGUGUAGUUGUUUGUGAAUUACUUGUAAAAUUCACCAUAGAGUGUAGUUGUCGAUAAAAAAAAAAUAUAAAUAGUAAUAAAAUAUUAUACUUACAUUGUUGUAAAUAUGUAUAAAUAAUUUAUUUAGAAUUAUAAAAUAUUUAAAAAAUAUUAUAUCAUUUUAGAACGAUUGAUCUGACAAUUAUUCCUGUCUCACCUCGUGCAGUUGAGGCACGGAUUGUUGUUGCAGGCAGCAAUUAAUCAUAUGAAAAAGUUGACCGCCAUUUGAUAAAAAAUGAAAAUGUAGGGUUCAUAUGAUAUUUUAUAUAUCGAUUUUAACAUUACGAGUGAAAAUUGCAAAAUUUAUUUUAUUUUUAUAAAAUUUUAAACGUGAGUUACAUCUUGAAUAAAUUCAAAUAAAUUGCACGUGGAAUCGAAUAAAACUGACAUAAAUAAUUUUUUCUGACAACAGCGCCUCUUGUCCGGCGUGAGGAGCGUGGAAUGGGGCCGGAGUGCCGGACAAAUUGUAAAAUAAGAUCCGGCAAAAAGUGGGCACGUGAUGCUAUAUAUAAAUUAAUCACCAGAAUCGGAUUUCUUUCAUGGCCCUUCAAUCUCCUUAUUUUUUUUUUUCACUCUUAAUUGUGCUGUCACUAACUGACUAACACACACAACUAGCCGGAAAAAUCAAUUAGAUUUUUUUUUAAAAAAAAAUUCCAGCAAGAGAUGAGUGAAAUUUAAAAAACAAAAAGGAAAUCGAGUGAUCAGAAUCCAAAAAACCUCUGAACCAAAGUCUCAUAGACUAAUUUAUUAGUUAUUUAAUUAAGAGUACUUGAGAUAAUAUCAAGUUGAACAUCCUUUACAAUUAUUCCACCUAGUAUAAUAUACAAUCAAUUACAUGUAUAUAGAUGGAAAGGAAAAGCAACAGAAACUUGAAUUACCUCCUUUAGUUUUCUUUCCUCCACCUUUCUUCCUAUGGUUUCUCACUCACAUUUUCACUUAAUUAUUUUUUUUUGGUAACCCAAAACACGCACUCACAUUUUCACUUUAUUAUUAUUUUUUUUGGUGAUGACGCACCCAAGUUAGAUAGGAAGAUUCAAGUUUGGGAAAAGUUUCGAACCCAAAACCUCAUUUAGUCCAAGAGCACGCUAGAGUAACACUGGGGACUUAUUUUUUUUCGUCUUAGUCAUCUAAAAGGCAGAAUAUUACUGUAAAAGAAUGGGCGAAAUGGUAGAAUUGGGCGGGCAUCAAUUCAAUCCUAGUGAUUUCAAGCAUAUUAUAAUCACAGAAACUGUUGUGCAAACCCUGAAAACUUUUGUGGUUAUUUUGCAGGGAUUCAUAUGGUCGAUUUCCCAGCACGGAUUCACUGUACUCAUUAUCUGUUUACAUUUGUUACUUUCAGUGUAAUCACAUAACCAGAUUACAAAGCUUCAUGUAAACUUAUAUAACGUGAGCUUCGAAGAAAACAAGAGUACAGAGGAAUGCAGCUGGGCAUCUGUCGCCCUUUGCUGCAGUAGCUGAAGCAGUUGAUUCAAGCUUAGCCAUUUCUUCCAGUGUCAACUUCACUGAUAAGGCCUUGAUGUUGCUCUCCAGGUUCUCAAUCUUGGUGGUGCCAGGAAUGGGACAGACGUCGUCCCCUUGGUGAUGAACCCAUGCUAAGGCCAAUUGGGAUGUAGUACAACCCUUCCUUGUUGCCAAUUCAGUAACCCGUUCGAACAGCUUGUUAUUGUGCCCAAUAUUCUCCUCCUGAAACCUUGGGAUGCUCUACAAAUGCAGCAAAGGUGCUGUAAAACAUUAAAAAUCAUGGAGACGAAUCGUGUCCAUGUAGCUGUACUUUUUUCAAGUCUAGCCCAAAAGCAUCACUUUUUACCAACGUUCUCAAAUCCGAACAGAGAAUUAAUAACAAAAAGAAAAGCAGAAAAAAAAAAGAUGAUGCCAUGCAAUGUUUUGUACUGCUGCUUUACAGUUUCUAAACAUUGCUCCAGGCACAUACGUGCCAAGGUAAAAGCAAAACAGGAGUGCAAGAAAGUGUAAAAUGGCUAUUGGACUGAUAUAUUACAAUCACAGGGAGUUGUCACAUGGUCACAAGAACCAGAAAUUGCGAAUGUUUAAUGACAAAUCCGAAAUGAAUCUGCAGCCACCUUGAGUCUAAACCAGAUAGAUCCAAAGUUCCUAAGCGAGAAAAAGAGAAUUAAAAUGAAGAGGGAUACUGUUUUGGAAUCUGCUUAACCAUAUAAUGGUGCCGUGGAUACUUAUUUGCUAUGAGAUUCAAAAUUAUACUGAGGUGCAGUGCCUGUUCCAAAUCCUUGCUUUAAGAUUAACAAAAACAAAAGGUGGCAAGAGAGAACAAUAUUUCUAAGGAAGGCAAUGGGGCGGUCACCGGCCCCGCAUGGGGCGGGGCGGGGGGAAUUUUUUAACCCCCGCUUAGAAAUGGGGUGGGGCGCCCCACCCCCGGCUCAUCCCCUGCCUUGCCACCCGCUUUAAAUAUAUAUAUAUAAUAUAUAUGUAUGUAUAUAAUUAUAUAUAUAAUAUAUAAUUUAAUUAGUUACAAACUUAUGACAAUGAUAUUAUUAGUUAUAUGUAUUAUAUAAUGUAUAUUAGUACAUGUAAUAUAAUUGAUAUUAUCAAUUAUACUAAUAAUUAUAUAUAUGUACUCAUACAAAUUAUUAAUUGGUUAUACUAAAUUUACUAAUACAUUUAUACUAAAACCCUAAUUACACUUAAUACAAUAACAUUUUUUUCUCAAAAAAAAGCACAAGCACAAUAAUGAAUUAGUGAUUGUAUUUGUAUUAAAAGUAAAAACUUGACUACUUUAGUUGUAUUUAUUACAUCAUGUUGGAUUGUAUUCAAAUAAUUUUUGUUUGAUUGUUUUUACAAGUUUCAAUUGUGAAAUUACAAUAAAUGGUAAUUUGAUGAUGUGUUGAAAUUUUAGUACUUGAUUAUUUGUUAAAGUUUAACUACAACAAAAUUAUAUAACAAAUUUUUAUUAGCCCCACGAGGGCACUCGCGGCAGAAGCGGGGAUGGGGCGGGAAAACAUUCUCCGUUAUAUUUGUAUAGAAUGUGGCCAGUAACAGCAUAAAAAGAAGAAGAAGAAGAAGAAGAAAUGUGAACAGGGACCAAGCAAGAUAACAGGUAGGCAUUUCCUGAUACAAAUAACUGCUUGUUUUCAGUUCUGAAAGAUAGAAGUCAAGUAACAUAGCAAAGUCAUUUGAUAACCAAACACAAUGGAAAAUAUAGUCUCUAAACUUUGAAAACAAGGCAGUCAAGAAAACAAGAUGAUAGGUAAUUUUUUUCUUACAAACAAACAACCUGCUUCCUUUUCAGUUCUGAAACAUGGACUUCCAAGCAAGUUCAAGUAACACAGCAAAUUCAAUAGACAACCACCAGAAAAGGAAAGCAUAGACAAGAAAACUUAUGUACAUGAUCCAGUAAAUAUAAGGAAACCAUGAAUUUGAUAAGCUACUUAUUCCUAUGCCUAGUUCCCUAUAAUUAAAAAUCAUCAUGAAUUAGUAAGCUGAGGGGGCAAUAGAAGCUCCCAACGAUGGAAGAUUAUUAUGUGGAGCAUAUCUUUUGGAUGACAUGUGGGAAUAGCCACUUCCUCAGCAUCUCUUGUCCACAAGGACCAUUCUAGUUGCACAGCUGUUAUGGGAUGAACAGCAUGAGCCCUCCGGAUUGUUUCCGGAGAGGCUUCAGAUAGACCUAUGCAUCUUACUUUACCCUCUUCAACUAGUUGCUUCAGAGCUCCAACCUACAAGUUACAGGUUAUAGAAGGAUUUCAAUUAACAAAUCUGUCUAGUAUACAAAUCUAUUUUGUAAUUUCACAAGAAAUUCAAAAGCACAAAAGAAAAAGCUUGGAGUCAUCCACCAACUUCUGCCGAAUACUUAAAAAUGCAGCGGACUACUAGAGCCUAAUUAAGCUAUUAAAAAAAAAAGAAUAUUGCAAAAACACGAAUAAAUGUAAGGGGAGGGGGAAUAAAGAGAAGUGAACAUAUUCUACCACAGAAUUAGCGUGUUCUACUUGCAUAAGUAACAAAAGAUGGAAUUUGAUCUUGGAAAAUUUAAUGCACCUCACAAUAAUGCAAGUUUAUUUCGAUUUUCAAACUCAAAUAGGAAUCUACAGAUUACAUAAAUAAUGCUGCAAAACUUGAAGACUCAUUCUACUCCAUAAUGACAUGUUCUGGUCCAUCAGAUUUGCUUGAAAAUCUCAGUGAACUAAUCCAGGAAAGACCAAUAAGAUCUUCAAAAAGAAAAAAGAUAAACAUAAGGGCUGAUAAGUAUCAAGGGAAAGGUAAAACAAACCGUGAUUUCAGUAGGAACCCUUUAAUUAAUUUAAUGAACACAGUAACACUUGAAACUAACUCUACAGGUUUGCAAACUUACUCCUCAAAAUAAAUAGUACUGAAAACAAUAAUUCAAUAUAAUCCAAACUAGACUUAGCUGCUGUUUACUUGCAUAGGCUUCAAAUGAGGAAAUAGAUUUGCUUUUUUGGUUUUCUUCUUUUUGGGUUUUUUUUUUUUGGGAGGGGGGGGGGUGUUGGGAGACCAUUUCGCAGUAAUGCAAAUUUAUCUAACUCUGAUUCUUGGAGAAACUCCCAAUAUUAUGAUGAAAUUCAACAUUAUUCUACAAAUGGGUGUUUUUGGUUGUAUGUUGUGGAGAAGAGGGUCCUAAUGCAUUUGUGGAAUGCGAAUACAAUAGAGCUUGCAUUUGGUAAAUGUGAGGUUUAAAAAAGUUAGACCUUGAUCAAAGUCCCUUUUGUAGAAUGCUUUUACAUUUCAUCAUGAUUUUGGGAACUUCUCCUGAUUCUGGAGCUGCAAACAGGGAAUCAUGGAUUACAUAAAUGAUAGUAGAACUUGCACAAACUGCAAUAUGACAAAUUGCUCUGAUUGAUUAUUGCUAAAACUCGAACUGCAUUAAUUAAUCCAAAAGAGAUUGAUAGAAAUAGAAGACUACGAAAACAUAUUCUUGAGGCAAACUUCGUAGCAAUUUGAACUUUCUCCCUUUGCACCCCCUUCAAUGCUUACAUCCACAACAUUCAAAUUAAAUUAUCAAAAAGCAGAAUACCAUUCCCACAAAAAUUCCAAAAAAAGAAUAAGACAGAACCCCCCCCCCCCAACAAACACACCACAAAAAAAAAAAAAAAAUCUCAAUUGAGUUAGUAUAGGCAACCCAAAAAAAAAAGACAAAACACCCCAGAAACAGUGUAAAAAUCUUAACAAACAAAAAUCCAUCAAUAAAUCGCAAAAAAAAAAAAACAAAAAGACCAGAAAUUGCAUUAAGCCAUCAUUAUACUUUCUUGAACCAAAAAAGUGGGUUCUGGCCAUUUUGGCUAAGGCUUUGAUUAUACCUUUCCAAUGAGGAUUUCAUUAGUAUGGGUGCCAUACACAUCAGAGGUGUCCAGAUGAGUGAUGCCACAAUUGAUGGCAUAGUGGAUCAGCUUGAUCCUAUCUGCCUCAGGCUUUGGAGGGCCAUAGCCAAAAGACAUUCCCAUGCAGCCUCAGCCUUGCGCUGACACCUCUAGGCCUUGUGAUCCUUUUUUUUUUUUUGUCAGCAACGAUACAUGUGUAUAACCUACUCUAUCCUAAUCUAGGGGGGAGGGGAGCCUAAGGAGGCUGUUAUAGGGGCUAAUGGGUAUACAGACCCAACUAGACCCAACUAGACCCAACUAGGCCUUGUGAUCCUAUCUGCCAUUUUUUAAGCUUUGUCAGUAAUUUCUUCCAAAACCCUGCUGGCUUCUGUCUCCUUUUCGAGUAGAGUAUUGAAAGUAGGGAGAGUUAACAUGAGAUAAUUGGAUGGUAUGAUGGCGUAGUUGGUGAGCUCAUCACUUUCUGCCCGUCCUCGAAGAUGGCAUAUUACUAGCGGAGUAAUUGCAGAUAAUAUAUAUAAAUAUGCAAGUGGCUAGGGUGUGUACUAUAAUGAGUUUGUUUGGAUUGCGAUUUAUUUGUCAAAAUAUAUUUGUUUACAUUAUUAUUAUAAUUUUUAAUACAUUUUUUUAUCUUUUCAAUUACCUUUUUAUACAUCACAUCACAAAAAGUGCUAUAAUAAAAAUAUCUCUAAUAAUUUACAAUCCAAACAAAUUCAAUAUUUCAGCGGCAAGUAUCUUCCGCACAGACCACAACGAAUCCUUCACUAGAGGGAAAUACAAAAGGGUUAAUUUCAAAAACCUCAUUCAUCCUAAUAUUACCUGUCAUGUCAAAGUUUUAAAAAUAUAACUUAUCUCGCCUAUUAAUAAGACGUGACUAGAUAUCUCAAUCAAAGGUAUUUUUUUUUAUGGAUAUAAUAGUUUCCUAUACUAUGAGGAGGGGAGGGACUAAGGAGGUUCCGGGAUAAUUCGAUGGAAACUGAAUCAUCAUUGGAUCAGAUGGGUACAUUACGUACCCAUAUGGAUUUUUUAAAUAAGGCCACAUUUAAUUGUGGCAAAUUAAUAGGAGGCAAGAUUUGAUGCAUUGAUGGUGACUACCAGCCAAUAAGCUGGUGGUUGUCUCAAUCAAAGGUAUUGAAACUCAAUAAAAUUUUCCUACCUUUUUAAAUAGCAAAGGUUGGGAAAAGAAAAAUAAAAUCCUACAAGCUAAAAUAUCUAAAAACAAAUAACAAGAAUGCCAUUGAAAAUAUUUUUCUCCCUCUUUGUCGCAAAAAUUUUUGCUUUUAAUGCUUGUCUUUGUUAUAACUGAUCUACUAAAAUUUUCUCUCCAAUUUCCUUUUUUGCAAUAAAAUUUUUGUAUCUUUUUGCUAUAAAAUCUUUACUCUUAAUUUCCUCAUUGUUCCAACCAAUCUCUCGAAGUUUUCACCUUUUUGUAAUGUUGAAGUAGUUUCAGAAGUUAUCCUUGUAGACAACAAUUUAUUCCCAACUAAACAACUUAUAUGUUUUCUAGUUACAAAUCGACUAAAUUUAUUCCUUAUUGCACUUACAAAUUCUCACAUUUUUAAUUUAAUAUUCCACCUUUUUUUGUCUUUUUUUCAUAUUUCAAAAUUCAUAAAUAAAAUUGUACAAGGGUAAAAAUGAAAGAUCAUAUAAUCUCUCUCCUUCGAUGCAUUUUUUAAUAUUACUUUUACACAUUAGGGGUGACAAUGUUACAUAAAUUGUCAUUCAAGGGAAUUUAUGUCAGAUUUCUAAAACUUCAAGAGUACUAGGCCAUAUUAGGAUAAAACUUCAAGAGCACUAGAAAAUCUCUUCCCGACAUAGGGGGUUGCCGCAUCUUUGAAUAUUAUUUAUAAGCCUCUAAUAAUUAAUGUCCAAUUAUAACUAUCUAAUAUAAAUAAAUGGAAAGUGUUAUAAUAUUUUAAAUCGGGACAUUUAAAUGUAUAAAAAGAAUAUAAUAAAAAUUAUGUAAAUGUCAAUGUAUAAAAAUUUACAUACAGAUUGUCUACUAUGUAGACAAAUGGUCAAACAUGUAGGGUGAUUUUCUGAGAGGUAUGAAGAGACAUUAUACGCUCAAAUAAAUAAUUCUUUGAUAAUCUUAUUUUAGACAAUGAUAUUAUUAUAUUUUUUUAGUUAAAAAAUAUUGUAGUGUCCAGGAAAUAGUGUUAUAAUUGUAGACGUAAUUAUAGAAAUUAUAUAAGUUAUUUUUACUAAAUAAAUUCUAUAGGUUUUCAUGAUAAUUUGUGAUAUUGAAAUAUUUUUAAAAGAAAAUAUCAAUAUAUUUAAACAUCAAAAAGAAUUAGUAAUAAGGACAAACAAGGAAAAAGGAAAGUGAAAUAUUUUAUAUAAGUAUUAUUUUUCAUUUUUUGUAAUAAGAAAUUAUUGCCAUAAUGUAAUGAGAAUUAGAACCAUAACCCAAUACUGUUUCACUCCUGGAAAGGAAGCUUCAAUCGUAAUUUUACUUGUCAAUACAAUCGUCCGAGCUGGUUCGGGUUCUAAGUUUAAUUGCCAACCAUAAUAAUAAAGUACAAACAGAUAACAGAGCUGCUUCACGUAAACCAUGUAACAGACCUUCAAAGAAAACAAGAGUACAGAGGAAUCAGCUACCAAGAGCCAUUACACCUUUCUAUGUAGCUUUCCAAGAUGACAGAGGCGGAGUAUUUGCAAAUCUCCAAGUAUGUGCCAUCAUAGCAGGUGGGUAUCUGUCACCCUUUGCUGCAUUAGCUGAAGCAAUUGAUUCAAGCUCAGCCAUUUCUUCCGGUGUCAACUUCACCGAUAAGGCCUUGAUGUUGCUCUCCAGGUUCUCAAUCUUAGU